RNAcentral lists this ribosomal RNA (238 nucleotides) under uncultured bacterium. Its description in RNAcentral is "partial 16S ribosomal RNA". It matches the Rfam family "Bacterial small subunit ribosomal RNA", at positions 105 to 334 of the family's 1533-position model. The record is from RNAcentral.
CCGGCACGGUGAGUAACGCGUAUCCAACCUGCCGUCUACUCUUGGCCAGCCUUCUGAAAGGAAGAUUAAUCCAGGAUGGCAUCAUGAGUUCACAUGUCCGCAUGAUUAAAGGUAUUUUCCGGUAGACGAUGGGGAUGCGUUCCAUUAGAUAGUAGGCGGGGUAACGGCCCACCUAGUCAACGAUGGAUAGGGGUUCUGAGAGGAAGGUCCCCCACAUUGGAACUGAGACACGGUCCAA